GUUAGGAAUAUUGGACAAUGGGCGAAAGCCUGAUCCAGCCAUGCCGCGUGAACAAUGAAGGCCUUCGGGUUGUAAAGUUCUUUAGCCGAUGAUUAUAAUGACUGUAGUCGGAAAAUAAGCCCCGGCUAACUUCGUGCCAGCAGCCGCGGUAAUACGAAGGGGGCGAGCGUUAUUCGGAAUCACUGGGCGUAAAGCGUGCGUAGGCGGUUUUGUAAGUUAGGAGUGAAAGCCCAGGGCUCAACCUUGGAAUUGCUCUUAAAACUGCAAGGCUCGAAUCUCGGAGAGGAUAGCGGAAUUUCCAGUGUAGCAGUGAAAUGCGUAGAUAUUGGAAGGAACACCAGUGGCGUAAGCGGCUAUCUGGACGAGUAUUGACGCUGAGGCACGAAAGCGUGUGGAUCAAACAGGAUUAGAAACCCCAUAGUCC
This 424-nucleotide ribosomal RNA is filed under the name uncultured bacterium. RNAcentral describes it as "partial 16S ribosomal RNA". It matches the Rfam family "Bacterial small subunit ribosomal RNA", at positions 354 to 796 of the family's 1533-position model. The record is from RNAcentral.